This 343-nucleotide unclassified non-coding RNA is filed under the name fungal sp. RNAcentral describes it as "partial internal transcribed spacer region". The stretch from base 1 to 46 matches the Rfam family "Eukaryotic small subunit ribosomal RNA", at positions 1786 to 1831 of the family's 1831-position model. The record is from RNAcentral. Lineage: Eukaryota; Fungi. RNAcentral also lists the same sequence under 1 other name.
AAGUCGUAACAAGGUUUCCGUAGGUGAACCUGCGGAAGGAUCAUUAACACGUAUCCAACGUUAAAACAACCCGUGAACUUUCAGCUUGCUCCUGUAGCGGUAAAUCAUUGUUGACCAGCUUUGAGUCAGGACCUCUGCAGAUUGUGAUAUUUUAUUUACGGUUGAGCGAUUUGCAUCUAGUGACCUGGCAUCCCCAAGUAAUCAGUGUUCUGAAAGUGUCAUUGAUUGCCACGCGGCCGGCGACCGGGUCACCGGGCUCUGCCCCUUUACGACAACUAACGCGCGUGAAAUUCGCACGGCACCAAAAACCGAACAACUGUUAACAAUGGAUAUCUUGGUUCUC